Molecule: long non-coding RNA, 2421 nt
Organism: Rhea pennata
Lineage: Eukaryota; Metazoa; Chordata; Aves; Rheiformes; Rheidae
Exons: 3
Source: RefSeq, a predicted model, not a curated record
AGCCUAGAGCGCCCCUAGCGCCUCGCGCCGCGCCGGCUGUGCUCGAUCUAUCACGGAGAAGCGCUGCCAAGAGCGCCCACCGCGGUCGGCGUCCCUCUAGCUGCCGCUCGCUGGUCUCCUGUGAAGGCGGGAAGCCCCUGGGGAGGCGUCGGGCGGCGCCGCUCGGCCCGGCCCGGCCCGGCCCGGUCGAGCGGUGCCGGGGGGCGCUGCGGCCUCUGUGCGGGGCGAAGGACGGAGGCAGCUAGCGCGUCCGUGGGAGACGUGCUGCAGACGGCGACGGAGGCGCUGGGGACCCGAGCGCCUGGCGGCGGCCGGGGUCUGCGGCGCGGGUGAACGUGAGCGGCGGUUCGGCGGGCGCUCGCUGCGGGCCGGGCUGGCGGCCGCGGGGCCUGGGGCCUCGGGGCCGGGAGUGCGGCCCCUCAGACGGGAGAGGGUGCUCUAGCAGCGCCGAGGACGGGGCCGCAGCAGCCAUGUUCCUCUGAAAGUAAAGCAAAAAACUGCGGAAACUUGUUUCCACGCAGCACAGACGUGACGAAACACUUUUUUCAAACUUCUGUGGUUACCUAUUCUUUCCUCCUGCGUUCCCACUGCGUAACCUGUGCUGGAUUCUCUUCCAAAUAUGAAAAAUCAGAUCUAGUGCCUUAAAACACAAGUUUUGCUUCUAUUCCCCAAGUAUCACAAAACCCAGAGAUCUCGGCGUGAGGGCCUGUUCUGCCACGUCAUCAAGCGUGUCACCAGACGAGCACCACGUCACUCCGGUUAGCAAACCUGGCCGGAGUCUUGUCCCUUGAGUCAAAGGCUGCCAGCUGCCCUAGAAAUGACAAAAUAGUCCAAUUCUUUGCAGACUCCUCCCCUGACCUGCAAACCUGUUAUUACAGGACGAAUGAAGAAUCAUUCCAGAGCGCAAGACGCCUCAGUGAAGCAGAGCCACCAAGAUAGGCAGAAGGCUUCAUCGCGGAGUCAAGGUGCAUCUUGCCUCACAGCUUGAGAUCGUAAUUUGUUUGUAUCAGCUACAGUUCCUUUACUUCAGAGGUACAAAGAAAUAGCAUUUAAUCAGCAUAUUCUGAAUCACAGGGAUUUUGUGCUCCUGGGGGAGUUAUUGGCGUGAAGAGCACCUCGGAGCGGGGCGCUGGGAUGUGUUCGCUGAUCUGCUUAGGUAGCUGUGGUGUCAGCAGUAACGCCAGCUUCUGCAAGGGCAAGAGGGAAUGCUAAAAUUAUGUUUUAGUUACUUAGAAUAUAAAUAGACGACAAAUUGCUCGCCAGCUCUUUUGUCUGAAAGAUACUUAAAAGUACUUGGGAGAGGAAACGUACACUCUGUUAGAGAUCCGGAGUCUUAAUGUAUCAGCCUGGAGGAUUUCAAAGUGCUUUAGAGACACAGCAAGCUGGCUCGUACCCGGGACUCAGCCGCCGCGCGGGAGCUCAGCUCAGUUCCCGGCGACUCUAUCAGCAUGAGAAGUUUUUCAAGUUAAGCCAAAAAUACAAGGAGAAGGCAGUGCCGGAAGGUCUCUAGGACGGUGCCGGUCCGGUGGUGCGGCGGGGUUUGCGACAUGGUGGGGCUGCCCGCGCGCUCUCCCCGCGCCGUUCAUUAAUGAUGCUGUUAAAACAGGAGCGAGCAGAGGCUGUUCACAAUUUCCGAAGCUCUCCACAUGUGAUGAAAACAGCCCAGCCGCCAGCGAGCUUCCCCGGGGGAGGCUGGGAGCCCGGAGUCGGCUGCGCUGUAAACGUCGCUGCUUCCAAGAAGUUCUGCCGGGGAUGGAUUUGACCAUCUGGGUCUGAUUCCUGUGCAAGAGCUGUUCAUCUCGGGUGCACCCGUAGCAUCAGGGCAGCACCCCCCUUACGGGCGAGGAAUUGGUUUUCACUGGCUCAUACCGAGAACAGGCAACACCGUGAGAGUCUGCUGCGGCCUCUCGCGCCUGCCCGUGCCUCUGUGCUGCUCUGGGCUUUUCUCUCCUUCCCCGCCUGCCUCUCAGCCCCUUUUUGCUCGGCUCCCUGCCUGGACGCUGCUCAUGCAGCAGGACGAGGUUGCGGCUUGAGCGUGAGCAGCAUGACAGGCUCCUGCGCGCCCAGCGCUCGCUGGCCGCACUCCGUCCCCGGCACUAGAGCAAACCCUUCGUCUCAGCCGCGACGUCCGCGGGCCGGCGCUUUCCUCGAGAGCUGGAGCGCGCCUCGGUGGAGCCUGCGAAAGGCGAAGCUCUCGCGUCCCGGCCCCGUGUGCACUCCCGUGUGUCUGUCCCCACUGCCAGAUCUGGCCUGUAAAAAUCAGUAUAAUAACCAGAUAAAUAUUGUAAACAAUAGCAACAAGAGAGGUGGAAUAGAUACCUAGGAGCACACACGAUGCUGAGAACAAAAUUAAUCAAGUUAUUAUGUGGCCUGAAGAGAAGAAAUGAUUUAGUCCUAUAAAGCCAAUAAACAAGGCUAAUA